UAUUGGGCAAUGGAGGCAACUCUGACCCAGCCAUGCCGCGUGAAGGAUGAAGGUCCUACGGAUUGUAAACUUCUUUUAUUAGGGAAGAACAUCUCGAAUUCAUUCGGGACUGACGGUACCUAAAGAAUAAGCACCGGCUAACUCCGUGCCAGCAGCCGCGGUAAUACGGAGGGUGCAAGCGUUAUCCGGAUUCACUGGGUUUAAAGGGUGCGUAGGUGGAUUUAUAAGUCAGUGGUGAAAGCCCCGAGCUCAACUUGGGAAUUGCCAUUGAUACUGUAGAUCUUGAGUGCGGUUGAGGUAGGCGGAAUGUUGCAUGUAGCGGUGAAAUGCUUAGAUAUGCAACAGAACACCAAUUGCGAAGGCAGCUUACCAAGCCGAUACUGACACUGAUGCACGAAAGCGUGGGGAUCAAACA
This 415-nucleotide ribosomal RNA is filed under the name uncultured bacterium. RNAcentral's name for it is "bacterial SSU rRNA". It matches the Rfam family "Bacterial small subunit ribosomal RNA", at positions 362 to 774 of the family's 1533-position model. The record is from RNAcentral.